This 250-nucleotide unclassified non-coding RNA is filed under the name plant metagenome. RNAcentral describes it as "partial contains small subunit ribosomal RNA, internal transcribed spacer 1, and 5.8S ribosomal RNA". The stretch from base 192 to 250 matches the Rfam family "5.8S ribosomal RNA", at positions 1 to 56 of the family's 154-position model. The record is from RNAcentral.
GUAGGUGAACCUGCGGAAGGAUCAUUAUUGAAAUAAACCUGAUGGGUUGUUGCUGGUUCUCUAGGGAGCAAUGUGCACACCUUGUCAUCUUUAUAUCUCCACCUGUGCACCUUUUGUAGACCUUUCAGGUCUAUGUUGCUUCAUUUACCCCAAUGUAUGUUAAUAGAAUGUUGUGCCUAUAUAAUAUAUACAACUUUCAGCAACGGAUCUCUUGGCUCUCGCAUCGAUGAAGAACGCAGCAUCUGACUGA